Long non-coding RNA from Chlorocebus sabaeus (green monkey), 824 nucleotides. RefSeq lists it as uncharacterized. Lineage: Eukaryota; Metazoa; Chordata; Mammalia; Primates; Cercopithecidae. The record is from RefSeq and is a predicted model, not a curated record.
GUGUGAUUAUCAUCACAGCAAACAUACAGAAAAAUUCCAUCAUAAGGAUACUUAGUGAAUCCUUUUAUAGCUAAAGCCACCUUUCUUCCUCCUUCCUUCAUAAUUCCAGGUAUCGUUGGAUAUUGUGAAGAAUGUCUCUCAACUGGAUUGUCUGAUGUUUUCCCCACGAUUAGACUGAGAUUACCAGUUUUGGGGAGAAAGACCACAAAGGAAAUUGAAAGACGAUGCAAGAAGUGUCUUCAGGUUUCCACGGAAAUGGAAUUAAAUGAGAAACAUGUGGUACUUUCUGAUGGAGACAGAUCAUCCUGAAAUCACUUCACUUCUGCUGGCUAAAUAGAGAAAUAACGAUAAAUCUUUUCAAAAACAAAGGAGAGAAAAACGUAGGAAAUACAUCAAGCAAUACGUUUAUGGCACCAUUAGUAUGCCUCUAUACAGAAGGUUAUUUAUAAUGGUGGAAUUGUUUGUCACACAGCAUAUGAAAAAAGGAAAUUCAAAUUAUAUAGAUGGGUUACAGUGUUAAAUAUGAUCUUGCAAACUCUAGAUAUGUCACCUUCCUAGAUGCAAACCUUAUUUUUAAUUUUUAGCAACAUUUUAACAAAUUAGAGAUGUAUGCAUAUUCAGCAUGGUUUAAACUCAGAUCAUUCGGAUAUUUUCUAAACAAUCCUCAGUAGAAAUUUCAACAAGUUUAUCUUGUUCUCAUACAUGUGUUUAUGAACAAAGGGUUAUUUUGAAGUAUUGUUAAUGGUGAAUAAAUGUAUGCUAUGGAAUAAAUUAUUUACAACUGUGGACCUACUUCAUGAAAAAUGUGUAUAAAGCACACAAAA